GACGAACGCUGGCGGCGUGCUUAACACAUGCAAGUCGAACGGAAAGGCCCUGCUUUUGUGGGGUGCUCGAGUGGCGAACGGGUGAGUAACACGUGAGUAACCUGCCCUUGACUUUGGGAUAACUUCAGGAAACUGGGGCUAAUACCGGAUAGGAGCUCCUGCUGCAUGGUGUGGGUUGGAGAGUUUCGGCGGUUGGGGAUGGACUCGCGGCUUAUCCGCUUGUUGGUGGGGUAGUGGCUUACCAAGGCUUUGACGGGUAGCCGGCCUGAGAGGGUGACCGGCCACAAUGGGACUGAGAUACGGCCCAGACUCCUACGGGAGGCAGCAGUGGGGAAUAUUGCACAAUGGGCGGAAGCCUGAUGCAGCAACGCCGCGUGCGGGAUGACGGCCUUCGGGUUGUAAACCGCUUUCGCCUGUGACGAAGCGUGAGUGACGGUAAUGGGUAAAGAAGCACCGGCUAACUACGUG
Molecule: ribosomal RNA, 468 nt
Filed under: uncultured bacterium
Lineage: Bacteria
Description: partial 16S ribosomal RNA
Rfam family: Bacterial small subunit ribosomal RNA
Source: RNAcentral